This 371-nucleotide transfer-messenger RNA is filed under the name Chitinophagaceae. RNAcentral's name for it is "Flavipsychrobacter sp018267925 Standard tmRNA". It matches the Rfam family "transfer-messenger RNA". From Rfam's summary of the family: Bacterial tmRNA, also known as 10Sa RNA or SsrA, is named for its dual tRNA and mRNA-like properties. Its role is to liberate the mRNA from a stalled ribosome. To accomplish this part of the tmRNA is used as a reading frame that ends in a translation stop signal. The record is from RNAcentral. Lineage: Bacteria; Pseudomonadati; Bacteroidota; Chitinophagia; Chitinophagales. RNAcentral also lists the same sequence under 1 other name.
GGGGCCGACUGGUUUUGACAGCACAGGGCAGGGUAAGUAAGCAUGUCGUGCGUUGUGUAAUUAGCACGUAAAUCUGAAUACACGAACUAUAAAUGGCGAAUAUAACUACGCCAUGGCUGCCUAAUCAGUGAUUAAGUAGUCAUUUUGGCCGCCGCAACAGUCCGCCUACCUCUGUUGCCGCCGCCUAAAUCAAAAAAUCGUAGGCUAAGCGCUAUAAAGCUGUGCAUUAGCGUCGAAAAACUAAGCAGUGUAGGAAGGAGAUAAGUUCGUCCGUCUCUGGUCAACUUCCGAAAUCUAAUGCCGGAAUAAACAUGUAGAAAGCUUAUUGGGCAUGUGUUUGGACGCGGGUUCGAAUCCCGCCGGUUCCACCA